CCUACGGGAGGCAGCAGUGAGGAAUAUUGGACAAUGGGCGCAAGCCUGAUCCAGCCAUGCCGCGUGCAGGAAGAAGCAUCUAUGGUGUGUAAACUGCUUUUGUACAGGAAGAAACACUCCCUCGUGAGGGAGCUUGACGGUACUGUAAGAAUAAGGACCGGCUAACUCCGUGCCAGCAGCCGCGGUAAUACGGAGGGUCCGAGCGUUAUCCGGAAUCAUUGGGUUUAAAGGGUCCGUAGGCGGUUUAAUAAGUCAGUGGUGAAAUCUGGUCGCUCAACGAUCAAACGGCCAUUGAUACUGUUAGACUUGAAUUAUAAGGAAGUAACUAGAAUAUGUAGUGUAGCGGUGAAAUGCUUAGAUAUUACAUGGAAUACCAAUUGCGAAGGCAGGUUACUACUUAUGGAUUGACGCUGAUGGACGAAAGCGUGGGGAGCGAACAGGAUUAGAUACCCUGGUAGUCCACGCCGUAAACGAUGGAUACUAGCUGUUCGGAGCAAUCUGAGUGGCUAAGCGAAAGUGAUAAGUAUCCCACCUGGGGAGUACGUUCGCAAGAAGAGAAAGUAAAGUAAAGUUAGUAGGCGNGAGAGAGCGACGGACGACACGAGGGAGGAGG
RNAcentral lists this ribosomal RNA (613 nucleotides) under uncultured bacterium. RNAcentral describes it as "bacterial SSU rRNA". It matches the Rfam family "Bacterial small subunit ribosomal RNA", at positions 338 to 953 of the family's 1533-position model. The record is from RNAcentral.